This 379-nucleotide ribosomal RNA is filed under the name uncultured bacterium. RNAcentral's name for it is "bacterial SSU rRNA". It matches the Rfam family "Bacterial small subunit ribosomal RNA", at positions 29 to 419 of the family's 1533-position model. The record is from RNAcentral.
AACGAACGCUGGCGGCAGGCUUAACACAUGCAAGUCGAACGAGGUAGCAAUACCUAGUGGCAGACGGGUGAGUAACGCGUGGUCAACCUACCGUUGAGUGGGGGAUAACUAGCCGAAAGGUUAACUAAUACCGCAUACGAGGCCGAGGGGCAUCCCUUGGUCUUAAAAGGAGCAAUCCGCUCGAUGACGGGACCGCGUCCCAUUAGCUAGAUGGUGGGUAACGCCUACCAUGGCACCGAUGGGUAGCUGGUUUGAGAGAGCGACCAGCCACACUGGGACUGAGAAACGGCCCAGACUCCUACGGGAGGCAGCAGUGAGGAAUUUUCCGCAAUGGGCGAAAGCCUGACGGAGCGACGCCGCGUGUGGGAAGAAGGCCUUC